GUGGGUGUGCUGGAGUAGUUAUCAGGCAUGACUUGAUAUCAUGUGAGCUUUGCUCGCGUAGGUUCGAAUCCUACCACUCACG
Non-coding RNA from Cucurbita moschata (crookneck pumpkin), 82 nucleotides. The record is from the annotation of a RefSeq genome assembly. NCBI's taxonomy places the organism in Eukaryota, Viridiplantae, Streptophyta, Magnoliopsida, Cucurbitales, Cucurbitaceae.